Molecule: long non-coding RNA, 250 nt
Filed under: Mytilus galloprovincialis (Mediterranean mussel)
Lineage: Eukaryota; Metazoa; Mollusca; Bivalvia; Mytilida; Mytilidae
Source: RNAcentral
GGCAGGUGUCAUCUGACCUUGACCUCAUUUUCAUUGUUCAGUGAUUAUUGUUAAGUUUUUGCAUUUUGGUCGGUUUUUCCUUUACUGUAUGCAAUAGGUCUACUGCAUUUGGUGUAUAGAAUGAUUGUAAGGUGUUCAGAAAAACUUCCAUAAUUCUUUUGUGCCAUGUUCUAUCCACUGUAAGAUCUUUGUGUGUUUUUAUGCCAAGCAUGUACUGAAUUUUGUGUCUUGGAUAUAUACCCUAUAUCCU